Molecule: ribosomal RNA, 122 nt
Filed under: Helianthus annuus (common sunflower)
Lineage: Eukaryota; Viridiplantae; Streptophyta; Magnoliopsida; Asterales; Asteraceae
Source: RNAcentral
GGUUGCGAUCAUACCAGCACUAAUGCACCGGAUCCCAUCAGAACUCCGCAGUUAAGCGUGCUUGGGCGAGAGUAGUACUAGGAUGGGUGACCCCCUGGGAAGUCCUCGUGUUGCAACCCACC